This 72-nucleotide transfer RNA is filed under the name Ovis aries (sheep). It matches the Rfam family "tRNA". From Rfam's summary of the family: Transfer RNA (tRNA) molecules are approximately 80 nucleotides in length. Their secondary structure includes four short double-helical elements and three loops (D, anti-codon, and T loops). Lineage: Eukaryota; Metazoa; Chordata; Mammalia; Artiodactyla; Bovidae. The record is from Rfam by way of RNAcentral.
UCCCUGGUGGCUCAGACGGUAAAGUGUCUGCCUACAAUGCGGGAGACCCGGGUUCAAUCCCUGGGUAGGGAA